This 254-nucleotide ribosomal RNA is filed under the name uncultured organism. Its description in RNAcentral is "partial 16S ribosomal RNA". It matches the Rfam family "Archaeal small subunit ribosomal RNA", at positions 474 to 727 of the family's 1478-position model. The record is from RNAcentral.
UACCUGCGGCCCGAGUUGUGACCAUUAUUAUUGAGUCUAAAGCGUUCGUAGCUGGUUUGGAUAGUUUGUGCUUAAAUCUUUUCGUUUAACGGAAAGGCAUGGUAUAAAUACUUCUAGACUAGAGGCCGGGAGGGGAGAUGGGAACUUUUCGGGUAGGAGUAAAAUCCUUUAAUCCGAAAAAGACCACCAAUAGCGAAGGCACAUCUCCAGAACGGACCUGACGGUGAGGGACGAAGGCUAGGAGAACAAACCGG